Non-coding RNA from Paramuricea clavata, 588 nucleotides. The record is from the annotation of a GenBank genome assembly. NCBI's taxonomy places the organism in Eukaryota, Metazoa, Cnidaria, Anthozoa, Malacalcyonacea, Plexauridae.
GCAUUUUUGUUUUUCAAAUUUUUCAAUUCAGGGAAAGAAAGUGCAGUAAACGGAAUUACUGAGCCUCAAUUUUUAAAAUUAUUCAAAUAGACAAAAUAUUUUAGGUCACUAUACUGGUACAAAUAAUUGUAAAUCAUAUUAUAUCAUGCACACAAAAAUAUAAUUACCUUCCAACUUAUUUAAAACCUUUGCAAUUUAGCUGAACUUGUCCUUACUAGGUAGUUCUUAGUACAGCCAUAGUUAGCCCAGUUCUUAGUAACCAAUAAAUCUUGAAAUUGUCCAAAAAAAUACUUCUUCUAUCUUCGUACUAAUACAAGGCUACUUUAAAAUCAAUUUGCUCGGCCGUACUAUCUGAUGAUUGUGUUGUUUAUAAGCACGAUUCAUUAAUCAUUGGCCCCAUACCGUUAUAAACAUGUUUUGUGAUUGGGUGAUUACAACAAUAAAAGACAGCAAAUACAUAUAGCAUACCAUGUAAAUUUCACACGUUGUAAUGUUUUCGUUUGGUAAUACAUUUUCAUAAAAUAUGUGUGGUAUAAAAUUAUUUGCUGGGUUCCUUUUUAAACUAAGGUUUCCGCCUGGUGUAGCAAU